UACGUAGGGUGCGAGCGUUGUCCGGAAUUAUUGGGCGUAAAGAGCUCGUAGGCGGUGUGUCGCGUCGGCCGUGAAAACCUGGGGCUCAACUCUGGGCGUGCGGUCGACACGGGCAUCACUUGAGUUCGGCAGGGGAGACUGGAAUUCCUGGUGUAGCGGUGAAAUGCGCAGAUAUCAGGAGGAACACCGGUGGCGAAGGCGGGUCUCUGGGCCGAUACUGACGCUGAGGAGCGAAAGCAUGGGUAGCGAACAGG
RNAcentral lists this ribosomal RNA (254 nucleotides) under uncultured bacterium. Its description in RNAcentral is "partial 16S ribosomal RNA". It matches the Rfam family "Bacterial small subunit ribosomal RNA", at positions 524 to 776 of the family's 1533-position model. The record is from RNAcentral.